This 229-nucleotide unclassified non-coding RNA is filed under the name plant metagenome. RNAcentral's name for it is "partial contains small subunit ribosomal RNA, internal transcribed spacer 1, and 5.8S ribosomal RNA". The record is from RNAcentral.
UCUCCGUAGGUGAACCUGCGGAGGGAUCAUUACAGAGUUCAUGCCCUACCGGGUAGAUCUCCCACCCUAUGUUAUUAUUACUUUGUUUCUUUGGCGGGCCGUUAGGCUCCGGCCCGACUACCGGCCCCGGCUGGUAAGCGCCCGCCAGAGGACCCAAAACCCUGAAUAUUAGUGUCGUCUGAGUACUAUAUAAUAGUUAAAACUUUCAACAACGGAUCCCUUGGUUCUG